UGACCUCGGAUCAGGUAGGGAUACCCGCUGAACUUAAGCAUAUCAAU
This 47-nucleotide ribosomal RNA is filed under the name Aspergillus niger. RNAcentral describes it as "partial 28S ribosomal RNA". RNAcentral also lists the same sequence under 11 other names. Lineage: Eukaryota; Fungi; Ascomycota; Eurotiomycetes; Eurotiales; Aspergillaceae. The record is from RNAcentral.